CUCCGCCCCCGGGCUGCGGGAGCUGAGAAGGAGCGAAGAUGGCGGAGUGAGGCGUGCCCCGGGCAGCUGGCCUCCGGGCCCGGGGCGGGCCUCCCGGGAGAGACGCGGUGUUUGUGCUGGAGUCUGUGAGGAACCUUAUCAUACAAGAUGAGUCUUUUCCUGACCAUAGGUGCUUUUAUAUUCAGCUCAGAAUUCUGAACUCAGGAGUUGGCAAGAAUUUCUAUGUUGUCUUCUCAGUGCGGUGUCCUGGUUCUUCUGUCCAGCUGCCUUCCCCAGUGAAAUUCGGAUGUCUUUCUACAGAUUACCUCAGUGGUUUGGGAUGGAAAGACUGCUUUUCCUUUACUUCACCUCAGACUCGACACAGAGAAGCUCUGAGGAGGCAGAUGUCCUUUUGACUUCAGGAAGGAAAACAACUGGCUUGGGUCUUCUGCAGUUUUUAUAAACAGAAAAACACGGUUGCAAGUAGAAAGAUGUUUAAUUUGAAACAGGUGCUUAGAUUGUGUGGCGUGAAGUGUCCCCUUAUUCAACGCUCCAAACAAGACUAAACAAAGACCAAGUGUGGGUGGCUCCAGAUUGUUUAAGUGUCUUCCGACUUUAACAUGAUAUAAGCACAGUUGAAACUGCAGUGGUAGAUCCCAAGUAUUUAUUAUAAUUUGAGGUGAAAGAAUUGUGAUCUAAAUCCUCGCUCAUCCAUUGACAGAUUUUCUGGACAGAAACAAAUCUAUAAGAUCAAAGCAGAAAGGCAAGAUACCAGGUUUGGUCUCACAUGGGAGUAAAACCAUUGCAGUUUGUGUGUGCAGAUUCACAUUUUUAUGAGUACAAAUCCACCUUUUUUAAACAAGAUUUUUCUCUUGGAGAAGAAACUUGUCAUUUAUGAGAAGGCUUUGGACAGUGUGAUGGUCUUAAAUGUUUGGGUUUCAUCUGCUUUGCUUUGCUCUCUUUAUCAUUCUCAGGAGGGACCACCUGCCCCUGUGGCUAGUUCCGAGUGAGAAGAAAACACAGGAUGGGGUGAUGCUCACCUCAUACUGCCAGUGCUUGGGAGGCAAGAUAGGAAGACCAGAAGUGCAGGCUUGGGCUUCAUGGUGAGAACAGCUGGAAAAAACUGAUCCCAGUAACACCACUUUUAUAUUCUUUUUUUGUGGAAUCACAUGUAGCAUGUGAGACUUGGAUUUUCCAUGUGGCUCUGCCUGGAAGGACAGUGGCAAAUGUGGUCUCUCACUUAAGGAGAUGUGACAGAGCCUGUAGUGUUACUUGCCUUCAGCUUUGGACAUACAGGAGUGAAAGAAAAAAUAACACGUGGCAUAUAAAUCCUUUCUUCUAAGAAAAAGAAGCAAAGAUGUCUAAUGUAGCAUCAUCUGACUUUUAAGCGUUUUUACAUUAUGUAGUUGCAUUUUUUUUAUAAAAGCAGAAAUAACUUCCUUCAACUCAAGAUUGGUACUUGGACAUUUAUUUUUCUAGGUGAUUAUGUAAUGUUAGGCUGAAAUUCUGGGACUCAGGUAAAUUUUCCCAGUUUGAACUGAACUAUCUUACCAGAGAAUGGGCCUCAGAAACAGUGUUCCCAGACCUGUAGUUGGUUCACUAUAAUCUUGGAAGAACUUUGAGAUCUGAACAAAACUUCAAAUAAGAAAAGCAGCUCCAAUAAGAAGUAUGGAUAUUGUUGCCAAUCACUGUAGAUUUAAAGGAAAUGCAGGGCCUGGGGGAGGGGGGAAAACUCAAGAAAACUAGCUCCAGUAAGAAGUGAUGCGUGUUUGUUUUUUCCUUUAACAGUUGCGUUAUAAGGAACUACCGUGGAAACAUCUCUUUGCUUCCAAAUCAACAGGGUCUGUUAUAUGGGAUGCCAGGCUUUUGCAUGAGAGGACGGAUGCCAUGGUUUGCAGUGGCUACCAGCAGAGAAAGAUGAAUUAGGAACAGGUGUUGUCAGAGCUGAUUUCUGGAACAGUUUUCCUGUGCUGUAGGUGCUGUAAAUUUGAGUCAUAGAAGUGAUCAAUAUUGGGAGAUGUUGAACAUUCAUGGUUAGUCAGAUUGGGCAACAAAUUUGAAUUUAUACUAAGAGAUUUUUUCACAAAAUAUUUAUAUAAAUAACCUAUUAAUGAGAGCAAAUAAUGAUAAAACACUAGAGAAAUAACAAAGGUAACCUUAAUGUCUGGGCUUCAUAGCUCACACCUGUAACCAUAGCAUUUUGGAGACUGAGGCAGAAAGAUUGGCCACAAGAUCAAGGCCAAAGAGACCCUGUCUCAAAAACAAACAAACAAACAAAAAAAACCCCAUAUUCUUCUAAGUGCCCCAGCCACUUAUAUUUUUCAUUUAGAAGGCAGUGGAAGGCAGUUGGUGAUUGAGAACAUCUCACAGAUGCCUGAGCCAUCCUUCACCUUGCCCCCGGCAUGGGCUGUCACCACUGGGGAGGUGUCAUCCGUUUGCUCCAGAUGCUUCAGGGCUUUAGCCUAAACCUUCAAGUGAGUGUUCUCUGUUCUCUGUGGGAGAAGCUCCUGCAUCCUGCAUUGUUAGCAUCAAAUGGCGUUUUGCAGCAUGGGUAGAUAACAGCUGUAGUCGCCUGGUCUGUGGUAUGUUUCCAUUUAUAGUCUUGACUUGGGUUUCUCCUUAAUAGCAGCAAAAGCUACCCUUUUAAAUAUAUUCCUCCAUCUGUGGCUGUGCCUCCUCCCUUCUCCAUGUUUUUUCUUUUGAAGUUACUAAACAAAAAUGGGAUAUGUGCAAUAUAAAUAUAUAUAUAUGUAUAUUUUAAUACUUGUGGACAAGUGUUACAAGUUGUUUAAGAACAACAAAAUCACCAAUGUCUUCCAUUUUGAGAUGUGUAUAGUUUUGUAAGCAGUAGUGCUUGGUAGCAUAUUGUAGUGCUAUGUUAGGGUUAGUGCAUGAAUUUAGUAUAAUUUUAAACUUCAAGAUGAAAUAUUGAUAAUAACCAAUAGUGUAAAAAGAGUGGAAAAUCCUAGACCUUUACUUUUUUGUGUAUGAAUCUGUGAUAUUCUCCCUGGGACUAGGAGAUAAAGGCCAAACAGCUAAUGCCAGAACAGCAAUGUGGGUUCACAUUGGGAAACAUUGUGCUUGAGGGAGUGUUAGCCUUUCAGACAGUAGCUAGAAAUAGCUGCCUUUGUAGCUUUUCAGCCCUCAAAGCAAGGCCUUGUUUCAUGGUUGUCUUGCUGUCUUAGUUUGAAGCUAGCUUGUUCUUAUUUUGUCUUUGCUUGUAUGUCUUGGUUCAUUUUUCCUAUUUUGUGUCCAGAAAAUUAUUUUUUAUUUUGCAUGUCUGAGAUGCUGUGCUAAUUGCUUGGAAUGUUUACUUUUUCCUGUUUGCAGCAUGUAUGCAAAUUGCAGAACCUUAUCAGCAGUUUGGAGUAUCUGGUACUCUAGGCUUUGCCCAGUUCCAAAUCUGACUUUGGUGUUGAUUGCAGACUUUUUCUUGAGAACUGGUAGUUCAGUGGGGCCCCUGUAGGUAGCCAAGAAGUGAGUUGGUCUCUCCUUUGGUAAUUGUUGACAGCUUUCCCUUUUUUUCUUCUUUCCUUAUGGAAAUAAAGUAGUUGCUUUGUUCUGAAAAACAAAAGUUUUCUGUACAAUGGAAUUCCUACCUCUAAAAGCUGCCUAGGAAACUAGUAACUAGAAAACUUAGAAGUUUUCUGGAGUGUUUUAUUUUUGUUUUUUAAUUUUAGAAUUAGAGUCCUGCUGGGUGUGGUGGUGCAUGCUGUAAUCUCAGCAUUUGGGAAGUUGAGGCAGGAGAAUCAAGAGUUCAAGGUCAUCUUCUGCUACAUAGUGAGUUGGAGGUCAGCCUGGGAUACCUGAGGUCCUGUCUCAAAAAAAAAAAAAAAAAAGGAAAGAGAUUCUAGGAUUUAUUAACCUUUAUUAUAUUAGUAUGAUAAGAAUUGUAAAACUUCCCACAUAUGGUAGGUAUUAGUGUAGCGUUUUAUAUAUACAGGGACCCAGGAAUAGACCCUUAUAGAAUAUGAAAUAUUUGUACUUUUUAGCUCAAGUAUGUGGUUAGCACCUGGGAGAAUCUGCUUCGGAAAAGCAUUUAAAUUUAAGAAACAAAGGGAAAAAAAACUUGAAAAAGUAAUGCAUAUAAAGUAGCACAGUACAUAGGAAAGGACAUUUUCCUAUUGCAAGAAAUAAAAGCCAUAAAUGAACUAAUAAUGUUGAAGAGGUGGAAUUUAGUAGCAAUAAGAAUUUCGCAUGUAUAGUAAAUUAUAUGGUUGAGUGAUUACUGUUUGAGUUUGUGGGGCUCUGCAGUUUUAUAGAGUUCCAUAAAAGGGAAAAUACAUCCUCGGUUAAGAAGCAUUUAAACUAUGAAUGUAUAUGAAUAUAUCUAUGUGAAAAAAAUACCAACUUUCGUAUAUGUGUUAAAGACCUCAUUUUUGUUUCCCAGAGUUUACAGCUGUUGAAAUCUUUCUAGUGCUUAAUCUGGAAGCAAAUGUACUUCUACAGUCCCAGUGAAGCCAACAUGUAGGGGUCUUAAAUUGUUUUUUUACUAAUAGUUAUUUACUGUAGAAUGAUGGAUGCUUUAUAAUCUUUUCAUUGGCUUCCUGGCUACUUUUUCAAAAGGAAAAGUGUGUUUUUGUGUGUGGUUGGUAUGUUUCGGAGGAGAGGGGGAGCCUCGAGAACUUGCUGUUUUCCUUGUCCUUAGAAUCAAGGAAGUUAGGAAUUAAAGGUGAACAAAAUAACUGGGCAGUACCCAGGAUGGGGGUUAUCUGAAUGUUGGAUAUGUGUAUGUGAUAAGCUUGUGGCCUGUGUGUGACUGCUUAUUCUUUUAAUAAGGAGAACCCAGCAGACACAUUUCUUUCUUGAUCUGAGGAGUCAUACAACUCACAUCAAGAUGUAAGCAGGAACUGGGUGACUCCUCACUUCCUUUACCUCAUGUACAUCAUGGCCAUUUAGCACCUUGAACAUUCCUGAAAAGAUCUGGGUCCGUGUUCCUUUGUUUUCCCAGGGGGGAAAAAAGUAAAAGUAGUUUUGUAGAUCUGAGACUCUAAUGAAUUAUUUUAUUAUAAGCCUAAGGGUAGGGAAAAGGCUAUAUUAAGUGUAGUUUCUCUUUAAAUGUCCCGUGCUGUCCGUGUUAGGUUUUGGGACAACCAAGCAAUAUUCAGAACACCUGCAUGAUCAUGGAGACGUGGCUACUUCAGUUACAGCGGAGAUUACCCUUGACAGCCGUGUCUGUGGUUCUAAAUACAAAAGUAUGCUACAAGAUUUUGUGGUCUCCAAAUGUGUGGUAAUUAGUAUUCAAUCUUACUGUAGUCUCUUGUUUACUCUUUAUGUACUGUGAUAUGCAAUAUAUGAAGAGACCCCUAGCCUUCAGGAGUUUACAUUCUCAUGGUGCUGUAGGUGCAAGCAAACUGACUCUAGUUUAUUCAGAACAUUGCUUGGCUAGUAAUUAUACCAUUUUGGAAGAACCCCUUGGCCAAGAGUUUUAAAAUGCAGAGGGCUAUGCCAAAUUUCAGGGCAUUACUGCUUGAGUUUACAUUGUUUUAGCUCUGCUCCUCAACUUUUCCCCAGGGAGCUGUUCAUUAAUGUGAAUCAGAAAAGAAACCAUUCUGCCUAAGAAUCCUUACUACCCCUACAGCUCCCGAUAAGUGGCCAGGAAAACUUACUGCUCCUUAAAGACGGUCACCUCAGUUCCUUUUUUUCCCCCCCCAGGGCUGUAAACUAUUCAUUACCCUCCAAGGGCCAGGCUUUCUAGCUAAGCCUUUUAGGGCUAAAUAGAAGUCUUAAGUUUAGCCUUUUUGUGUAUGACUUGUUUUUGUUUUGAAGCACCAUUGUAGUAGAUAAUGGAGUACCUGACUGCAUCUGUAAAGAAUUUGACAUACUCAGUUGAAGUUUUGCAUGUAUCAUUGCUUUUCCCAUGGUUCUGAAUCAAAGGGUUUGCGUGUUUAUUAAAACCAGGCCUGGUUGAAAAUGUAAGCAAUAGUGGCAGGCCCAUAACUGAUUCCAGAAUGCUAACAUUCUAAUGCAUGGCUGAAAUUUUUCAUUGUUAGGUAGUUACUAGUAAAUUUACAUAUGCAUUUAUCAAUAAUGAAGCAAUAGAUACUUAAACCAAUGGCUUGGUUUUAUUUUUAUCUUCUAAUUAAAGAUUGUCUUACUUCCAUUGAAAAUUGGAAGUACAAGAUAAACAAGGGGCAACCACAAGACAUUCAAACUGUUAGGAACACAGCAAGCAGUGCUGACUCUGUGUCCUAGCUCUAUUUAUUCCCAAGCAUGUUUGCAUAAAAGCUAAACUAAGCAUGCUGCAUAAGCUGCUGUCAUCAGGAUGGUGCAGGGUUCGGAAGAGUGGGGAGAGGCUAAGUAGAGUCAUCUUCCUUCAGAAACGACAGUAGUCAGUGUAAACCAGAUAGCUGUGGUACUUACCUGAUUACAUUUAUGUAGAUUAAAUUUGGGGUUUCUUAAAACUAUAGAUUGAGCCGGAUGCAUGGUCUGCGGUUCCUGCACAGGCAGAAACCAGCCUGAGUGCGAUAGCCAGACUCCCUCACGGAAAGCUAGUGUCUUGGAAGUGAAGGGCAAGGUGUGUGCCUGUUGCUGCUCUUCAGUGCUGAGGCAUCUGCUCCGGAAGGUGCUGCCUGACUGUCAGCAGGGACCUGCCUGCAGCAGGAGCAUCUUUGUAGAGCUGCAGAAGUCCUGCCAUUGUUCUGCUGAUUGCACCUGUGGCUGAUUUUACAACUGUGAAACUGGAGUUUUACUUUAGAAGAGUUGCUCAAAGUUCAUAUCAUGCCUAAAACUUGAUGAACAGGUCAAGUUUCUCUUCCAAAAGAGACAUUUGUUUGCCUGAAUGAACAUCAGCUUGAUAGCAGCAAAAGGAGCAGAAGUAUGAUCUAGUGGCAGAGCGCUUAAGAGAAUGGGCUCAAUUGCCAGCACUACCAAAAAAGCCUCAUGGGGUUGCAUAAGAAUUUCAUGACUUUGAAAUGAUCCAAAUAACAAAUUGUUUGACAAAUAGUAAGUAUUUAUAAUGUCUGAAAGGCCUAAAUAGAAUUCAGAUAAAACCUUCACUGGGUUCAAUCCAAUUUACAUGUUAUGUGAUGGAAAAAUAGUUUCAAAUUUAUUUUGUGUUUUUUUUUGUUGUUGUUGUGGUACUUUGUUAAGGAUUUCAAUUAGAAAGGUAUGUUCCAUCCUUUGGAAAUAGAGUUGUCAGUGUGAUGUUUGCUUUCCACUGAGACACAGGAAUUGAGGUAUAGGAUGUAUCCCACAUAGAAAUAUUCUUUGCCACAUACCAGCCAAUAAAGAUGUAAGGUCAAAGUUCUUCCUUCUAGCACUCUCUCCUAAUAGUACACUAAAGUCAAAACAUCACACAGGAAGAUUAGAUGGAUAUUUGGGAGAGCUCACACUUACAAACACCUUAAAAGUAGAGAAUAUGGUUAUGAUUACUGGUGAUUUUUCAAAACAUUUUGACACCUUUGCUAGUGGUGUGCUGUGUCCUUAAUUGAAAUAUGCUUUUGUGCUUGGGAUAUAGCUCUUGGAGAACACUUGUGCCCUGGGGCUAGUGCCCAGCACCAGCACCUUAUCCCAAGGAGCACACUGGUGAUUGGUCAGUGUUUUGUCAGUCUUUAAGCAACAUUACUAAUCUGGGCAUUAACCUUAAACACAGCCAUCCCUUUAGUGAAGAAAAAUUAACAAUAUUAGAGUAGUCUACUCGAGAGAAUGUUGAGUUUUCUGCCCUUCAAGCACAGGUGUCACUGUUCGCUUGCUCUUCCUUGUACCUUCCAUUGCGCCAUCAGUGUAUGAGGUGAUGUUUAAAGAGCUUCAUUGAACGUGUCAAGCACACUACAAAAGGCAGCUUCUUAAUCUAUGCAUCUUUGGGAGUUUUGAAGAAAUUUGACUCCUUGGAAAAGGAACUGUUGUGAGAGCCUGAAACUGCACCUGUAUGUAUAUAUUUUUAGCAAUAAAGCAUGAGCUGAGAAUGCACUGAAACUUCAUUGUGUGUUGCUACUUUGAAAUGGGUAAUUUCAGGUAAUAUUGUUACAAUGGAAAAAGCAGCCUUUCCAUGGGCCAGGUUAAAGUAGGCUUUAGGUGUCUGUUUUCUUUUUGGUGGUGGGCUGGGAAGUGGAGUUGAGACAAGGUGGCCUUGGCUGGCCUUGAACUCACAGAGCUCUCCCUGCCUCUGCCUUGUGAUACUAAGAUUAAAUUUGUGUAUCACCAUGUCAGGGUUGGGUUUUUUUUUUGUUUUUUGUUUUUUUUUUUUCUGGGUUUAAUACUUGUGGUAGUUUCUGCUCAGUGGUAAUAUAACCAUCUGAAGAGAAGGAACAUCACAUUUUAACUUAACCAAGCUUGUUUCCCUUUCAAGGACCACCUUAUACUUCAUCUAGAUAAAUUCUUAGUUUCUGGUAAGGAAAACUGGGCAGUGGUGGUGCCAUUAAAUUACUCCCGGGACUUGGGAGGCGGAGGAAGGCAGAUCUUUGUGUUUGAGGGCAGCCUGGUCUUCAGAGCUAGUUCCAGGACAGCCAGGGCUACACAGAGAAAUCCUGUCUUGGGGGGGGGAAGGGAGGAAAAGAACUGGGCCAGGAUGCCAUAGGUAUUGGGCAGAGGGCUAUCAGGGACUGUUUGAUUUGAACAAAGACUUUCUCAGGGUUGGUCUUCAGUCAUGGUGAAGCUGCCUCAUCCUUUGAGACAGUCAGUGACAGCAGCAUAGCAACCACUUGUCCCACUGGCUCCAGCAUUCUCAGUUAUGCUCUUGUAUCCCAAUGGGUGCUCAAGUUUGCUGCUCCCAUUUACUCCUCCCAUUUACUCCAUACUCCUGGCACAGGCAUUUGUACAAGGAAAAUGACACUAAAGCUGAAUGACACGAGAGCUGAAGUCGUUUUCAAGAUGCACUGGGUUGGUUACUUAACAAGAUUUAACACAUUUAAAAGGGGGAGGGGAGCAUAAAACAGCAGAUAAAGGCAUUUGUUGCUUAGCUUGACCUGGGUUUGAUCUUCCUCAUUGUAGGAAGAAAAUGACUCCUACAAGUUUGUCAUCUGACUCCACACUUGCACAAAGAAUAAAUGUAAACACAGGUUGCAGACUGGACAUGGUGAUGUGCAUGUGCGGCCCUAGCACUUGGAAGAUGGCAGCAGGGUCCGUUCAGAGCCUGAGUGUACAGGUCUGAGGUUAGCCUGGGGUCCAAGCCUCCGUCCAGAAGUAGACGCUGUAAUUACUUACAGGAAAGGACAGGUGUUCCCCUAUCCCCUAAAGAAAGAGGUUAGAAACUUCAAGAUGGGCUGUUGUCAAAGAGAAACAAACAAUUGGCCUUAUUACCCAACUGCUAAAGGACUUGAGGGUUUUCAGUGCUGUGAUGAGCAAAAUUUACUAGUAAAUUCCAGAGGUUCCAUGUAAGAUACCGGCAUCCAUACCUGUGACGUGUCCAUUCUUCAAGCCUUGAUAUGGCACAGGCCUGUUACUCAGUUUUGUGUGACAUGGACCUCCAUCAAACCUUGUUAGGAUAUCAGCAUGUUUCUGGUAUGUAUGUGGGGAUUGGGUCUUAAAAUUCUUUACAGGGUCAAGUGGAAUUAUAAAAUGCAUCUCAGCACUCCUAUAUAAACAAAGCAUGCUCCGAAAGAAACGUAUCUUUUGGACCCUGCCAUUAAGGUUGAAAUCUGACGUUUCCGGAUAGCCUCUGAGCUCAGUAUAAUAUGGCUGACUACCUCUCUGCUUAAUCUGGGGAACCCCAACAUCUUCUGAGAAGCAUCACAUAGCCUUCAGGGAGAUUAUAAACCCAAAUCUUGUCUGAGAAGCAUGCAGCUGGGGAUUCCUGGAAACACCCACCAACCCUAUGCUAAUGAGAUAUCUUGGUGUCUUGGUUUUCAACCAAUGACCUUUAGCCGUAGCUGAAGUUCUUCCCCUGCCUAUAGGAUAUUUAAGGGCUACUUUCCCCUCUUACGACAGGCUGUGUGGCUAUGUGAGUCAAGUAACCCUGGCAUCUCUAGCCCCAGCAAAUCUAACACAUUCACCCUCAGAACCUCUCCCACUGCCCAAGGUUUGUAAGUCCUGAUUUCACGUGGAAUAAACAUGCUGCUGGCUACCAUCAGCUUUUCCUGACAGAGUAGACAUUUAUUCUGGGGAAAGGCCUCCCCUCCCUGAAAACUGCUGGGGCCUGGCUGCUGGCCAGGCGACAUCUCCCUUGGUCGCCACUGAGCCUGCCCGACAGGUUGGGGCUGCCCAGCAGAGAAGCCCCCACCAGGCCUUGUUUCUGCCUUUGCCCACACCCCUGCCAUCAAUACAGCUGCUUACCAGAGGGCUGCAGCACUGCGGUGUCAAAGGCUUUUGGAACUCCGGCCUUCUGAUACUUGCAAUCUUCUCUUUCUUCCUUAAUUCAGGACAGGGUUUCUCUGUGUAUCUUUGUUUGUCCUGGACUUUUUAGACCACGCUGGCAUUGAACUCACAAGGAUGGCCUGCCUCAGCCUCCCAGAGUGCUAAGAUUACAGGCGUGUGCCACCACACCUGCUACCUUCAAUCUAUUUAAAAGAGCUAACAUAACACCCAGUGAAAAACUCAUUUCCACUUCCUCUGGUGAGACCGGGAGCCUUGCCCAGCACAUGGGCCUCACCCUGAGUGCUCUAGCCAUUCCUGAGAGAAGCAGAACCUUUGAGCUCAAGGUUCCUCUCUUCCAGUCCAAAAGCCAACAGCCGCGUCCCUGAACUACCCAGGCUACCAAAGGCUCAAAAAGACAUGUAUCUUUUUUUAAAGUGUUUAUUAACAUACACAAAGGAUUUUGUGAUAUAGACACACACAUAUAUAUAUACAUACAUAUACUGUAUUUAGAUCAUACAUCUCCCACAUCCCAGUUACCUUUUACCCACAGCUCCUCUUCUGCUUUCAUGUUUUUUGUGUGUUACCCAAUGAGCUUCAUUAGUUACAGGAGCGUGGGCACUUUACCAGUGUCUACACCACCAAAGAAAAUGUCUUUCUUGCCCCAUAAAUUAUAUAUAUCCUCAGGGAAUAAAAGGCCCUCCUGAGCCCUAGGCCUCUGACAGCUGGGAACAUGUUAAAGUGGAUGUGGACAAACACACAUGUUAGAGUCAACCAUGAGACCUAAGGCUCCUUUAGAUAGUAGGAGGCAGAUCUCUAGUCAGGCUUGCCUUGUCUCAGCCUCAGAUGUGUUAGUAUGACAGGUAAAGGCCACUGCAUCCAUGGCAGCUGCCAGAUUUCAUUGAGCAGUUAUAUACUACAUUACAUCUUUUACUUGAGUGCUUAAUGGUUUAUUUUCUUUCAAGUUAGAUAUAAAAAUGGCAUGAAACAUUUAGUUUAACAAAAACCCACAGAAGGAACACCAAUAACAAGCAAUACAACAGUCUGCACUAGUGAGAGUUCUGCCAUGCCUAGUCACAUCACAAACAUGGGGUUCUUCCUGUCCUAGUCACACUACUCUUACAGAAACAUGACGGGGGUUUAUCGAUUACAAAUACUGUGACUGUGAGCCUGCUGUGCAAGCGUUGUCGAAAGCCUGCUGCAUGUUUUUGAUACAGGUGCCUAGAGAUUAGGCUGUGAUCUGCAGUAGCCAUUGUGUGUCUUCAGUCUCUAUAAGCUGUGCUAGACUGGCCGCAGUGGCCAUUGUGUGUCUUCAGUCUCUAUAAGCUGUGCUAGACUGGCCGCUAGUUGUGCCAGGGUGUUACUUGUACUAGUUUACAGGGCUUCUUCCUUGUCUUUACAUGGUACGUUUUAAAUUUACCAAUUUGGUGUUUAUUUUUUGGUCGUUAGUAGUGAGGCUGGGUAACACUUCUCAAACCUUAGCCUUUUCCUGUAGUGUGGGAGCUUUUGUGUGCACGCAGUGCAGGUAUUCUACCUGAGUCACACUCCUCAGCCCAGUGUCUUCUCUAAAAUGCUUGCACAAGUAUUUUGCCAGUUUGUAAGUGGGUUACUUGUCCUGAUGUACAGCAGUUGGUCUACAGCUUCUGUAUUUUGCAUUUUUGUUGUUUAGAUGUGACAUUUUCUGCUUUGGCUCAGGUUUUCACUCUAUGUUGCUUUAGUUGCAAUUCUGUAUUUUAAAGUUCUGUUGUCUUCAAAGGAGCGAUGCUUAAGAAACAUUCUUCUACUGUGAGAUAAUGAAGCUUUUCUUCAGAGUUCUAUCUUCACAUUUAACAUGCAGAUCUUACACUGCCUGGAUUGAUUUUCAUAGGACAGCAUUCAAUUUAUUUUUUCUUUCAUGGGGUUAACCAGUUAUUCCAGUAUUAAUUCAAAUAAUCCUCAACAAAGGCGUGGUUACUGUUUUUACUCCUAUUUUACACAGAAACAGAAUAGUUUAGUUAGUUCAAGUUCAUGACUAAUAACAAUUAGAACACAGUCUGAAUAUCAAGGGUUUCUUUCUAAAAUCUGCUCACUUAGCAGCAUGUUAUACUGUGCCUCUCAAAAAUGGAAGUGGGUACCAGUGAGAAGGCUCAGAAGUACAGGCAUUUGACAUUAAGCCCCUGAUGCCACAUGUGAGCCAUGGCAAAUAUAUGCCCCCACACAAGUGUAAUUUAAAAAGCCAGAGAAAAACCUAAGAAUAAAAAAGAAAGAAGCAGCAAGUCAGCUGAGCGGGUAAAGGAGCUGAGCCACCAGCCUGACCACCUUAGUUCAAUCCUCUGGACAGAAAUGACUCCUAGUUGUCAUCUGACCUCCAGAUGCAAAAAAUGGUUUUUUCCAAAAAGGAAGGGAAAUAUUUGCAACAAAACUGAAUUUUUCUACAGGGGGCAUCUAUUUUGUGAGGAAAAUAUAUUUCCUGGAUAUACACAUAAAUAUGUAUAUGUAAAUACACAGAUGUGAUGCCCAGCUUAAUCUGAGUCAGGCUUAAGCACUUAAUUUUCUAUAGAAAGUCUCAUUCAACAUGGCAAACCCAGAAGUUUCUUAAAAUAGUUAUUAAAGAUGUAGCUGAGUGGCAGGGCCUUUACCAACUGUGUGAGACCCCAGCAACAUACACACAAUGACACCAACAGUUUUUAAACUGUGAUAAAGGAAGUAUGGUAAUGUUAAGGUAAAUGCACUUAUAUGUAUUUUAAAAGUCCACACUUGGACAUGGUAGCCCACGAGGCACUCAGGAGGUUGAGGCAGGAGAAUUGCCAUGUUAGCAGCAAGUCUGGGUUACAGAGAAAGAUCCUGCCUCAAAAAUGAUUCAAUGUAUUAUUAAUAUAUUAGGUUCCAUUCUGUGAGGCUGAAGAGGUGGCUCGGCAGGUAACAGCAGUUACUGCUAUUGCAGAAAACUGGGGUUCGAUUUCUAACACCCUUAACUGCCUAUAACUCUAGUUCCAGAUCUUACAGCCUCUGCAGGCACAAAGGCAUGUGGAGCACAUGUUUAAUCUCAGAAUCUGGGAGACAAAGGCAGGCGGAUUUCUCUUCAAAACCAGCCUGAUCCACACAACAUGUUUCAAAGUGGGACUACACAGUGACACCUUAUUUAAAAACAGUAGCAAAAGGCAGUGUUUACUAUGUAAUUUACUCAUUUAUCAAUUGAUACUUAUUACAUAUAUAUGUAAUACAUAUUACAUACACAUGCAUGUAUAUAUGUACAUAAUCUAUACAAGUGUACUAUAUGUGUGCUAUGUAUGUACACACACAUACAUGUAACAUACGUAGUUAGGGGGUUGUAGUUUUGGUUUUUUAAGACAGGGUUUCUCUGCGUAGCCUUGGUUGUCCUGGACUCUCUUUGUUGACCAGGCUGGCCUCAAACUCCCAGAGAUCCUCCUGCCUCUGCCUCCCCGAGUACGGGAUUCCAGGUGUGUAUAGCUACUAGUUUUGUUCUUUGAGGCAGGGUUUUUCUGUGUAGCCUUGGCUGUCCUAGAACUCACUCUGUAGGCCAGGCUGGCCUUGAACUCAAAAGAUCCAGCCACCUCUCUGCCGUCAGAGUGCUGGGACUGAAGGUAUCCACCACCACCACCCAGUAUACAUACCUAUUUUACAUGAGCCAGGCAUGGUGAUGUACACCUUGAAUUUUAGCACUGGGCUGCAGAGGUAGGCGGAUCUGUGUAAAUUCAAAGGUACUCUGGUCUACAUAGAAAUUUCUAGGACAGCAGAACAGCUACACAGAGAGAACCUGGCUCAAAACAAACAAGUCUUCAUCAGUUUUCAUGUAACUGGCAUGUGUAAGUGCCUUCACUAAAACCCCAUCUCUCUAUCCUGGCCAACUGCAUCUUUAAGUCAGUGGAUAAAAGGAACACCCCAUGCUAACUGGUAAUAGUAGUGAAGGAUAUUUUCAGAGAUAGACAUUGUGGAAUAAAUAUAAUAAAGUUUUUGAAAAUGAUAAGUCACAGUUUAUUAAGAAAGAGAAAAAUACUCCCCUAAGCAAGAGUGGACUCGUAAGCUGGGGAGGCACAGGGUCAAAGGCAUAGUCUCAGACAAUUUUCUGAGGAGCUGGGAUUCUGGGACAGCUUCGCAUGAAGAUUAGGCUGGCUUCAAAUUGGAAGUGUAGCUAAGAAUAACCUUGAGCUUCAGUUCUUCCUCCCUGUAUUUCAAGUGCUUGGAUUAUAGGUGCAUGUUACCACCCCUGGCAGUCCUUUCCGUUCUUAGUGGUAUUUAAAAAAUAAAAGACCAAGCAGUGUGAUGGCACAUGCCUUUAACCCCAGUACUCUGCAGGGGCAGGCAGGUCCCUUUGAGUUCUAGGACAGCCGGAAAUACAGUGACACCCUGUCUUAAAAAAGACCACUGGGGAUUUCUUAUCCAGAGAGAUGGAUCAGCUGUGUGCUUCCAGCUUUUGUACGGUUUAGAUUUCGCAGCGCUCAAUAAGAACCGGUAACUCCAGCUCCAGUAAAUCCCAUGACGCCUUCUGGCUUCCUUGAGCACACACACCUACACACAUAAACACACACCGAAUCUUAAAAAAAAGAAAGAAGAAAUGACCAAACAACCCAUGUUGUUGAAGAAGGGAGAAAGUUCUGUACCUUGUUUCUUCAGUUUUUGUGGUUAGAUUGAUCAGGGGUCAUUUCCUUCAGAGUCUUCAUCAGUGAAUUUAACCGAGUAUGCGUUAGCAUUAUCUUCUCUUUCAGCUGUGAAGAGACAUAGAUUGAGGACAUUUUAUACUCAACCCUCAAUUUGCUGCUUAUAAAAUUACCAGAUUUAAAAAUAAAUCUAAGCUUGGUGGAGUAUUAGACACCUGUAAUCCCAGCACUAGGGGAGGCAGAGUAGGCAGAUCUAAGUUCGAGGCCAACAUGGUCUACAAAUAGAGUCCAGGACAGCUAAGACUACACAAAGAAACCCUGUCUUGGGGGGGGGGACGACACAGCAGCUAGCUAGCUAGUUAGCUAAAUAAAUAAAUAAAUAAUGUGGAAACAAGCACGUAUACUUAAAAAUUGCCUGUGUUAACAGAAAGGAUAUAGCUGAGUUCUAGGACAGCCUGAUAUACAUAGUUAAUACGAGGCCAGUCAUAGUUACAAAGUAAAAUACUAUCUCCAAAAGAAAAAAAUUAAAAGGUAGUAUAUAUUAAGUAUCUACACAACCAAGUUUACCUCUGCAAUCUUUUCUGGUAGAGGUACAUAAUGAAUAUCCAUUUCAGAUGCAUUUACUAUGGUCUUUGUUUUUAAGAGAUAGCUAGAGAGAAAACAGAGAAAAUAUUAGUACUAUUAUCAAUGACCCAGAUAUACCCUCUAAAAUAUCUAUUAAGCCUGCCGUAAUGGCUUCAAGGAGCAUGGUAUAUUUUUAUUGGAAAAACAAAUUAACAUCACAAAGUGCCUCAUCCUUUCCCAUUCUUAGUGACAAAAUUGUCUCAGGAAAAACAAACCCAGAAUUACAUGAAUAACCACCAUGGGUAAAAAACUCACUCUAGGCUGGGUAUAAUGGUGCACGCCUUAAUUCCAUCACUUUAAAGGCAGAGCCAGGUGGAUAUCUGUAAACUGAAGGCUAGCCAGGACUACAUAGUUAGUUCCAGGACAGCCAGGGAUGCAUAGAGAUCUCGUCUCAAAACAACAAAAGAUGCUUUUUAAUGCUUGAAAGUUUUUCACUUAUUAUACUUCUGUGUUUGUAGAAAGCCCAUGGUUUGCUUUCUCUUGAAAUAUAAUCCUAAAUAGCAGUUACUUGGGAAGAAAAUAGAAGCCAGGCAUGAUAGUCUAUGCCUAUGUAUUUGUCAGGGUUCUCUAGAAAAACAGGCACAAGGAUCACAGGAUGGAAAUGAGUCUGUCUACACAUAGUAAUUGUAUGCCAGCCAGGCAAAAGAGCCAGACCUCCCCACUCAAACAAACAGAGAAAUCAGAAAAUUGGGAAAGCUAGUGUGCACUGACUGGUCUCAUAGUUAAAGAUGACUCUUCAUAAGCUCUGCUGUUUGGCACCGCACACAAACACAUACGUAAGUCACUACAAACGCAUACGAAAAUUUGGAAGUAUCUGUAUUAUUGUUUUUGUUUUUUUCUUUUCGAGACAGGGUUUCUCUCUGUAGCUUGGCUGUCCUAGACUCCCUUUGGCCUUGAACUCACAGAGAUUCACCUGCCUCUGCCUCCCUGAGUGCUGGGAUUACAGGUGUGCCACUCUGCCUGACUUAUUUACUUGCUUUUUAAGACAGGGUUUCUCUGGGUAGUCCUGCCUGUCUAGAACUCACUCUGUGGACCAGGCUGGUCUCAAACUCACAGAGAUCUGCCUGCUCUGCCUUCUGAGUGCUGGAUUAAAGGCUUGUGCUACUGUGCCAUGGUAAGUAAUCUUAACCUCUGGGACAUUUCUUAGCACUUCUUGUAAUAAAAUACCUUAAGUUAAGGGCUGGAGAGAUGGCUCAAAGAUUAAGAGCACUGGCUGUUCUUCCAAAGGUCCUGAGUUCAUUUCUCAGCAGCCACAUGGUGGCUGACAACCAUCUAUAAUGAGAUCUAGUGCCCUCUUCUGGCAUGCAGGCACACAUGCAGGCAGCAUAUUGUAUAAGCAAUAAAUAAAUAAAUCUUUAAAAAAAGGUAAAUGUUCAUCAGGAAGAUGAUGAUGAAAUAUCCUGUUAUAGGAUAAUUCAUUAUUGUAUAUAUAGAAAAACUAAUUGUUAGCAAAAUAUGAGAGGCUAAACAGAUACUGCACUUGCCAGAUGUAGUUAGGUGUGUCCCAAAGAGGUGCAGUUUGGGUGUGCCUCUGUAACUAAGAAUGCUGAAGAAUAGAAAGUUCCUCCCUCUUUGAAGGCAAGUUGCUUGGGAGAGCUCUUGUGGCCUUUGCUGUGUGACCCGAGUGACCAGCUCUGUGGCCAGGUGACCUUGAGCUACCCCACUGUAAAGUGGUAUGGUUUGGCCCCUACUGAAUUGGCUUGGAGCCCCCAUCCAAGAUGAGCCAACAGUGUGGGGGAGGGGCUGGAGACUUCUGUAAGCACUUGGACUUUUGAGAGCAACCUUUUUUAGGCUUGGAGCCCCUUUUUAAGAGGAGCUUUAGGUAAGAGAGAUCCUCUCUGUGGGCUUGCAGGAACAACAGAGAAGCUGCUGGCAGGUUGCAGGUAAAACAAUCUAGGAAAGAGAGCAAAGGAACCCUGGGGUUUGAGGGAGCUCAAAAGAAAGGUAAGCUUUAGCUAGGUAAAAGGACACAAAGAUUUCCAAACAGCUAGCAGCUUAGUUGUAGAGUCAGACUUGUAAAUGGAUAUUUUGUGUAUAGUACAGGAAAUAAAGUUACCUCACUGAACUAGCAAGUUUCUACCUCAGUUCAGGCCUUAAAUGUCUUUAUUGGUAUAAAUAUUAGAUACAUUAAACAGUAAUAAUAUCCAAUGAAAUCUAUGGGAAAAAAUAGUCAUUACUGUACUCUUCCUUUCACUAUUCUUUUUCAUUGGCUAAUUUCUCUGUAUGUGGAGUAAAGUGCAAUAGUUACCCCAACUGUAGCACUAGUAUCAUCUGAAAACAGCUCUAGGUCCUUGUGAUUAAUCAUCACCCUGAAAGAUCUGAAAUCAGCUGGGAGACAAGUAUCAAGGCAUGCCCAUGAAGAACUGACUAGAUUAGAUUCACUGAGGUGCAAAGGCCUGAUCUACAUGUGAGCAGCAACAUUCCACGGUGCCAAAAAUAAAAAUAGGCCAAAAAUAAAAAUGAGGAAGCAAAGGCUAGAGAGAUGGCUAUGGCUGUUCUUCUAGAGGACCCUGGUUCAAUCCCAGUACCCUCAUAGUAGCUUACAAAUGUCUGUAACUUCAGUUCCAGGGGGUCUGACACCCUCACACAGAGAUACAUGCACACAUAACACAAAUGUAUGUAAAAAAUAAAACCACUAAAAAAGAAAGCUGAACAUUCAUUAGCAUUUGUGUUGUAGAAUAUUUGAUCCCACUGUGAAGCCCGAGAUCAUGAACUAUAAAAACCUGUCUUUUGUUUGGUGUGGUUCAGGCCUAACACACACCUUUAAUCCAAGAAGUUUCUUAUUGUGAACAGGUGGUUGUGGUGUGGUUCAGCUCUAACACCUUUUCUUUAAUACUUUUUUGGGGGGUGGGGUGGGGGUGAUUUCGAGACAGGGUUUAUCUGUGUAGCCUUGGCUGUCCUACACUCACUUUGUAGAUCGGGCUGGCCUUGAAUCUACUGAGAUCUGCCUGCCUCAGCCGGCCUGAGUGCUGGGAUUAAAGGCAUGCAUCUCCACAGCUGGGACUUUGUUUCUAAAAACAACACACUUGUCUCUCUGCUUCCUGACUGCUGAUAUAGUUGCCCUGGUCCUGGUGUCUCUUCAUAGAGAAGAAAAUCCUAUCUAAGACAACCUUCAAACUGUGAGCCACAAGAAGCCCUCCUUUCAUGGAGGUUGUUUUUGUCAGGUAUUACGUCUUUUCAUAAGACAAGCCAACACAGCCCUCAUCUCAGAUUCCAGGGGUAGAAAAGUCUGGCUGAGUUGGGUUAGGUGUAAUAUAUGUGUAUAUGUCUAUCUUGGAGGCUGCGUCCCAUGUAGGCCGAGUCCCAUACAUGAGAAGGGCAUCAGACCCAGCUGCAAACCAAGUCACCUACGAAAACGCUAUUUUGCAAAAGCAUACCUUCUAGAAUUUUUCUGAAUGAAGGAAUAUUAAAUUAUUCCAUUUUAAGACAGUACAGUAAAACACCUAAAGUAAUGAUAGUAUUUAUUAUAGGAUCAUAUUUUAUGCUUGCAGGCAUGUGUAUAAUAAACAGGACCUGGCCUUUUGCAUCUUCUUUGGUUACAGACACCUGAACCUUUUUAAGAAAAAUUUAAAAAUCUUAUUUGAUAAGUAAUAGCUUUAUGUACUCACCACACCAUUUUGUCACAGGAGAGGCAGAAGUAGCCUCUCAAGGCAGCCAGGGCAGCAUGGGUGGAGUACAGAUGGAAACCAACAGGAGUCCCACAGGAAUCGCAGAAUAACAGGUUGUAUGUGCUGAUGGGGAAACAGAGAAGCAGAAUGUAAAAUAAGGAGAAGCCAGAGAAGAAAUGAAAACAACUGCCCUCAUCAGGUAUGAUGACAGCAUCUGUGACCCUACAACUCAGAAGCUGAGGCAGGAGGAGCUCAAGUUCAGGACCAAGAGUUCAAGUUCACAGGCCUGGGCCACGUAAGACUCUUGACUCAAAAAAACAAAAGCAGAGAUAAGAAUUUAUGAUGAAAAAAGAAAGGAAAACAAAGGGGGGUGUGGUGACUUUAAUCCUAGCAUUCAGGAGGCAGAGUACCGGCCAGCCAGGGCUAAACAAGAAAACCCUGCUAGGGAUACAGAACCAAACCAGACCCUAAUGUCACUGUCUCUGACUACUUGUAUAAUUCACAGCUCCCAACUUCAUAAAGAAAUUUACUACUCUCCUUAUGAUGUUUUUUUUUUUUCCUGCUCUAUGCUAAAAAGUUAGGAUCCUGUAACUUGCUGGGCCACUGGAUCAUGAACACUGGAGGACUUAAGGCAGUUACUUCUAAUAAAUAAAUAAAUACAAUUGGUUCUCCAUUAUAUAGAACAAGGGAAAAUAGAUUUUAAUUUCUAUUCAUUAUAAUCUGUCAGUCUGGAAGACUAUCAAGCAGUGGAGCAGAAUAAAGAUUUUUCCUCCACUCUCAUCUAUUUUCUAGAGUGCUUCGAUUAAACUUUUGAUAUGAUUUACAAGUGUUGUACCACAUACGACAUAAGCUAAUAAUCAACUACUGAAUUGAAAGACACUGAAACAGCUAUCUCAAGACCUCAAGUUUUUUAGUAAAAACGACCAUUUACCUUCACAAGGACACAAGGAGAUGAACAACACAGUGAAGAAAUCAUGGCUGCACUGACAGCAGGUAAAGGUGCCUGCUUAUUAAGCUUCAGACCUCAGGACAUGAAUAGGAGAGAACGGACUGCUGAAAGCUGACCUCUCACCCUCACAUGUGAACCUUGGUAUGUGAAUAUACACAGAAACACACCCUACCUAAAUAGAGUAAAAUUAUCUUUAGGCCAGGCAGUGGUGGCGCAGCCUUUAAUCCCAGCACUCGGGAGGCAGGGGCGGGCAGAUGUUUUUGAGUUCAGUUCAAGGCCAGCCUGGUCUGCAAAGUGAUUCCAGGACAACCAGUGCUGUUACAGAGAAACCCAACCUUGAGAAACCAAUAUAUAAGCACAUACAUAUUUAUAUAGACAUAUAAAUAUAUAAUAUACAUUUUACAAAUUAUAAUGUGAAACAAAUCUAUGUAUUUUUUUCUUGAAGUACUGUAGAUCAAUUCUAGUACCUCAUACAAGCUAGGCAAGCACUGCACUUUUGAGCUGUAAAAGUACAUUAAUUUUUGUUGGGUUGGUUUUUCAGACAGGGUUUCUUUGUGCAGACUUAGCUGUCCUGGAACUUGCUCUAUAUACCAACCAGGCUGUUCUCGAAUUUACAAAGAUCCUCUUGCUUCUGCCACCCCAAGUGUUGAGUUUACAGGUGUAUGCCGUUACCACAGGCUUAUAAUUAAAAUUUUAAAUGAAUUUGUGAAAUUAAGAUAGUAACUUUUUCUUUUUUAAAAAAAGUAUUUAUUUAUUUUAUGUAUAUGAGUGCUCUGUUUUGAUGCUAGAAGAGGACCCCAGAUCUCAUUAUAGAUGGUUGUGAGCCAUCAUGUGGUUGCUGGGAAUUAAACUCAGGACCUCUUAACCACUGAGCCAUCUCUCCAGCCCCCUUUAAGUAACUUUUAUUUGCUGGCUUCAGUUGUCUCAGAGGCUUAGUGGCCUUGUCUUCUAACCCAGGCCUAGUCCCGGAAGUUGAGCCUCCGUACAAUCUCCCUACUAGGCCUAAAAUAUUUCAGCCUCUGAGAAUUACUGCUUAAUUAGCUCACCCUUUCUUGUUCUUUCUGAGCUCUGGGCUGGCUGAUUCAGCUAGGCUAUUCUGGCUCAGUCUCCUCCCCAGCUGAUUUAAUCAAUCUGGCUUCUCUCUUGGGCCCUGAAUUGCUCUGCUUGGAUUCAAACUAACUCCAGCAAUCUGCUAUAAUCUCCUGGUUCUUCUUCAUUCUCUGGCUCUUCUGGUGUUCACCUGAAUUCCUUCUCUGCAACCUGUCUCUCUAUUACUUGUUCCUAUGAAAACUGCCUCUUCUCUUUCUCAUUGCCCCUUAAGCUGCUAAGUAGCUUCCCUUUCCUCUCUCUUCUCAUGAGUUGGGCAUAUACUAUUCUAGAUAGUCUUCUCUGAUUUUUCACUGUUUCUGCCACUUUCAAACAUGAGUGCUUCCUUCUACAAACUAACUUUUCCUUCAUUGUUUGGGAUUAAAGGCAUGUACCAACAUACCCGGACCUAAACUUUUCUUUCUUUUUUUUUCCAGACAGGUUUCUCUGUGUAGCCUUAGCUGUCCUGAUUUUGUAGACCAGGCUGGCCUCGAACUCAGUGAUCCACUUGCCUCUGCCUCCCAGAGUGCUGGGAUUCUGGGUGCACGCCACCACACCUGGCUUUUUUUCUUUACCUGAAACUUGCUCUAUACUAGGCUGGACUUGAUCUCAGAGAUCUGCUUCCCUCUGUCUCCUGGGAUUAAAGAUGUGUUUGUACUCCAGCAGGAUCACACAGACCUAGAGGAUUUGGAUGUGAUCUCUUGCCAGAACAGCCAUGUUCUGAAUUAACAUUCUUUUACAAUUUCAUGCAGACAAAUUGUUAAGAGCCUUGAAAGCUCGCCUGAAUCCCGAAACAAGGGGAGAAAAUACAAAUCAGGAUGAAAAUCAAUCU
This is an RNA transcript of Meriones unguiculatus (Mongolian gerbil), 21906 nucleotides long. It is a transcript of the gene named nucleolar and spindle associated protein 1, with no coding region annotated. The record is from RefSeq and is a predicted model, not a curated record. NCBI's taxonomy places the organism in Eukaryota, Metazoa, Chordata, Mammalia, Rodentia, Muridae. The transcript has 5 exons.